CCCCGGUUGGUGUAAUUAGCUAGCACAUUGUUCAUUGACCUCGAACAACGGUUGUUCUCAGGAGCACCAUUAUUUAAAACUGUCAAAGGCUGCAGGAUCAAGUCCUGCACUGGAGG
Molecule: transfer RNA, 116 nt
Filed under: Fusarium oxysporum
Lineage: Eukaryota; Fungi; Ascomycota; Sordariomycetes; Hypocreales; Nectriaceae
Description: transfer RNA-Pseudo(TTG)
Source: RNAcentral